GGUUACUUGCGCCCUCUAUAAAUGAAAGACGGUACCGCCAGUUCUGGGAAUCGCACAGGGGUGCGUACAAAUGGACCAGGACGCGGAGAGCACGGAAACAACGGUGCUGGGACCUUGUGCACAGAAUCCAGAUGCCAGAUGGGAAUUAAACAUUCGGCCGAGAAAAGCAAUCUAGUUCCCUGGGCUCGACUUUGACUCACUCCUUGGUCUGCACCAAUCCUCACAUCCCUCAGGUCCUCUAACUUUUACGACAGUAUCCAGAAAUCGAUUCUUUGGUCUCUACGGCUCCAGAAGGCUCGCUCAUCAAGAAACGUUCCAUUACCUUCGAUUAGAAGUGGAUACAUAUAUGAUUUUGGCCUAAAAAAAAAUUUGCAAAAAGGGAGAAUGCAAACUUGUCCUUUUCCUUUUGGAUUUACGGAGUGCCAGUAUCAGAGUCUAUUGAGGAGGAAUCUCUGAAAAUGACAGCUGAUGGGUGUAGAGACCCACGCCCGGAAUCUCAGCAACUGAAGUGGUUGAAGCAGGAGCAUCUGGGCAGAGCUUGAACCAGGAAGCUGAGCGGCACCAUAGGUGUUGCUAACCAAGCAUAGCAGCAUAAUAAAAAUGGAGUGAUUAAAUGU
Molecule: long non-coding RNA, 617 nt
Filed under: Mus musculus (house mouse)
Lineage: Eukaryota; Metazoa; Chordata; Mammalia; Rodentia; Muridae
Description: RIKEN cDNA C230035I16 gene (C230035I16Rik)
Source: RNAcentral